GACGAACGCUGGCGGCGUGCUUAACACAUGCAAGUCGAGCGGUAAGGCCCUUUUGGGGGUACGACGAGCGGCGAACGGGUGAGUAACACGUGGGUGACCUGCCCUCAGCUCUGGGAUAAGCCUGGGAAACCGGGUCUAAUACUGGAUAUGACUCCAUGACGCAUGUUGUGGGGUGGAAAGCCUUGUGCGGCUGAGGAUGGGCCCGCGGCCUAUCAGCUUGUUGGUGGGGUGAGGCCUACCAAGGCGACGACGGGUAGCCGGCCUGAGAGGGCGACCGGCCACACUGGGACUGAGACACGGCCCAGACUCCUACGGGAGGCAGCAGUGGGGAAGUCUUGCGCAAUGGGCGAAAGCCUGACGCAGCGACGCCGCGUGAGGGAUGACGGCCU
This 389-nucleotide ribosomal RNA is filed under the name uncultured bacterium. RNAcentral describes it as "bacterial SSU rRNA". It matches the Rfam family "Bacterial small subunit ribosomal RNA", at positions 28 to 417 of the family's 1533-position model. The record is from RNAcentral.